This 468-nucleotide ribosomal RNA is filed under the name uncultured bacterium. RNAcentral's name for it is "partial 16S ribosomal RNA". It matches the Rfam family "Bacterial small subunit ribosomal RNA", at positions 28 to 507 of the family's 1533-position model. The record is from RNAcentral.
GAUGAACGCUGGCGGCGUGCUUAACACAUGCCAGUCGAACGGAAAGGCCCAAGCUUGCUUGGGUACUCGAGUGGCGAACGGGUGAGUAACACGUGGGUGAUCUGCCCUGCACUUCGGGAUAAGCCUGGGAAACUGGGUCUAAUACCGGAUAGGACGAUGGUUUGGAUGCCAUUGUGGAAAGUUUUUUCGGUGUGGGAUGAGCUCGCGGCCUAUCAGCUUGUUGGUGGGGUAAUGGCCUACCAAGGCGUCGACGGGUAGCCGGCCUGAGAGGGUGUACGGCCACAUUGGGACUGAGAUACGGCCCAGACUCCUACGGGAGGCAGCAGAGGGGAAUAUUGCACAAUGGGCGCAAGCCUGAUGCAGCGACGCCGCGUGGGGGAUGACGGCCUUCGGGUUGUAAACUCCUUUCGCUAGGGACGAAGCGUUUUUGUGACGGUACCUGGAGAAGAAGCACCGGCUAACUACGUG